RNAcentral lists this ribosomal RNA (427 nucleotides) under uncultured bacterium. RNAcentral describes it as "bacterial SSU rRNA". It matches the Rfam family "Bacterial small subunit ribosomal RNA", at positions 105 to 518 of the family's 1533-position model. The record is from RNAcentral.
GGAGGUAACACGUGGACAAUCUGCCCCCCGGCCCGGGACUAGCCCAGGGAAACCUGGAUUAAUACCGGAUGAGACGGGACCCGCGAUGGCGGGACCCGGGAAAGGCGCUGCGGCGCCGCCGGGGGAUGAGUCUGCGUCCCAUUAGCUAGACGGCGGGGUAACGGCCCACCGUGGCGACGAUGGGUAGCCGGCCUGAGAGGGUGGACGGCCACAUUGGAACUGAGACACGGUCCAGACUCCUACGGGAGGCAGCAGCUAAGAAUCUUCCGCAAUGGGCGAAAGCCUGACGGAGCCGACGCCGCGUGAACGAAGAAGGCCGUGAGGUUGUAAAGUUCUUUUCGGGAGGGGGAACAACCGUGGCAGGGAAUGGCCGCGGGAUGACGUGAAUCCCGGAAUAAGCCCCGGCUAACUACGUGCCAGCCGCCGC